Homo sapiens (human) is the source of this 685-nucleotide long non-coding RNA. RefSeq lists it as uncharacterized. Lineage: Eukaryota; Metazoa; Chordata; Mammalia; Primates; Hominidae. The record is from RefSeq and is a predicted model, not a curated record. The transcript is spliced from 3 exons.
GGAAGAAAGGAAGUGAAGGAGAGAGGGAGGGAGGAAAAAAGGAAGGGAAGAAGGAAUCCUUAUUUGACCUGUACUCCUUUAGAACCCAAAGUUAGUUCUAGUCCUCUCCGUUUCUUUGGAUACUCAUUUUCCUACACUGGGAUUUCUACCUUCCUUCUUUCCCAAACUCAAAAACACAGUAAUGAUCUUGCUUUUAAGACAUAUCAUAUCAUGUUUUUCAGUUUUGGAUGUUGCUGCCAAGGGCAGUCAGCUCAUUUGACUCUAUCUACUAUGCUGCAUUUGAGAUUUUGUCAAUGCCAUUGAAUACAAAGGUGAAAGCAAGAGCCCAUAAAUAUGGCUGCAUCAAAAAGACAUGCAUAGAAUGGUGAAAAAUUUGAGUUGCUUGAUGUUCACAUUUCUCGGCUGAGGUUGAAUGAGGCUCCAGAAACUGACCAGCAAGCCUGCAGACCAGCAGAUGGAUGGAGGAAUGACGGGGCAGAGAAAGGGAGAAGAGGAGGAACAUCUGAACGCCAAGAGGAAUAAGGCUGGGGGCAGUCCGAAAGGAUUCUGUUUGCUGGGCGGCCCGACCCCAGGGGAGGAUCAUUUUCCCACUCCAUCCCCUGCUUCUGACUCCCCAUUUAUCCUGCUGAAAGUCACCUCCACCUCCACCUCCACCACUCAAUAAAACUUCGCAUUCAUCCUUCGA